Molecule: long non-coding RNA, 282 nt
Organism: Eubalaena glacialis (North Atlantic right whale)
Lineage: Eukaryota; Metazoa; Chordata; Mammalia; Artiodactyla; Balaenidae
Exons: 3
Source: RefSeq, a predicted model, not a curated record
ACUAUUCUGAGCAUAACAUCCAAACCCAAGGUGUCAAUCUCCUUUAUUGCUGUUUUAUUCUCCAUCUUUUUUCUUGACUCCAAGAUAACAAUCAUUUGUUCAUCCAGCAAACUUUUGUAAAGAACCUGCAAACACCAAGCACCAUGAAAGGCAGCAGGGGGUUGAGCCUUGAUGCUCUGCUCAAGACCAUAGCCUCCCAGAUCCUGCUCCCUGGGAAGGGAGAAAGAAGAAAGGACAGGGCAGAAACGUGCUGGGAUCAGUGUGCCCAGAGAGUGAAGAAGG